AUACGUAGGUGACAAGCGUUAUCCGGAUUUACUGGGCGUAAAGGGCGUGUAGGCGGUCUUGCAAGUCAGAAGUGAAAUUCCUGAGCUCAACUCGGGCGCUGCUUCUGAAACUGCAGGACUUGAGUGCUGGAGGGGAUAGCGGAAUUCCUAGUGGAGCGGUAAAAUGCGCAGAUAUUAGGAAUAACACCGGUGGCGAAGGCGGCUAUCUGGACAGUAACUGACGUUGAGGCUCGAAAGCGUGGGGAGCAACCAGGAUUAGAUCCCCUGGUAGUCCACGCCGUAAACGAUGAAUACUAGGUGUAGGGGGUAUCGACUCCCUCUGUGCCGCAGUUAACACAAUAAGUAUUCCGCCUGGGGAGUACGGCCGCAAGGUUGAAACUCAAAUGAAUUGACGGGG
RNAcentral lists this ribosomal RNA (397 nucleotides) under uncultured bacterium. Its description in RNAcentral is "partial 16S ribosomal RNA". It matches the Rfam family "Bacterial small subunit ribosomal RNA", at positions 523 to 918 of the family's 1533-position model. The record is from RNAcentral.